AGUACAAGUAAUCGGAAUAGACCUCCAGGUGGUACCCCACAAAUAAAGUGGAACACCAGAUAAGCCAUCUCUACAAGAGUCAUAUGAGCCCUCACAAAACAAAACUCAACAAACAAGUUAGAUAAACAAGAUAGGAUAAUCAAGAGUUUCCCCCAAAUCAAAAUGUAACCACAUGAAUCAUGCCAUUAAAAUUCACAAAAAGCUCACAAAGAGCAACCAAGGGUAG
This 226-nucleotide long non-coding RNA is filed under the name Lathyrus oleraceus (garden pea). Its description in RNAcentral is "Pisum sativum (pea) long non-coding RNA (PSAT_LNC026911)". Lineage: Eukaryota; Viridiplantae; Streptophyta; Magnoliopsida; Fabales; Fabaceae. The record is from RNAcentral.